This 256-nucleotide ribosomal RNA is filed under the name uncultured bacterium. RNAcentral's name for it is "partial 16S ribosomal RNA". It matches the Rfam family "Bacterial small subunit ribosomal RNA", at positions 524 to 776 of the family's 1533-position model. The record is from RNAcentral.
UACGGAGGGGGCUAGCGUUGUUCGGAAUUACUGGGCGUAAAGCGCACGUAGGCGGCUUUGUAAGUUAGAGGUGAAAGCCCGGGGCUCAACUCCGGAAUUGCCUUUAAGACUGCAUCGCUAGAAUUGUGGAGAGGUAAGUGGAAUUCCGAGUGUAGAGGAUAGAAAUUCGUAGAUAGUUCGGAAGAACACCAGUGGCGAAGGCGACUUACUGGACACAUAUUGACGCUGAGGUGCGAAAGCGUGGGGAGCAAACAGG